UGGGGAAUUUUGGACAAUGGGCGAAAGCCUGAUCCAGCAAUGCCGCGUGUGUGAAGAAGGCCUUCGGGUUGUAAAGCACUUUUGUCCGGAAAGAAAUGGCUCUGGUUAAUACCUGGGGUCGAUGACGGUACCGGAAGAAUAAGGACCGGCUAACUACGUGCCAGCAGCCGCGGUAAUACGUAGGGUCCAAGCGUUAAUCGGAAUUACUGGGCGUAAAGCGUGCGCAGGCGGUUGUGCAAGACCGAUGUGAAAUCCCCGAGCUUAACUUGGGAAUUGCAUUGGUGACUGCACGGCUAGAGUGUGUCAGAGGGGGGUAGAAUUCCACGUGUAGCAGUGAAAUGCGUAGAGAUGUGGAGGAAUACCGAUGGCGAAGGCAGCCCCCUGGGAUAACACUGACGCUCAUGCACGAAAGCGUGGGGAGCAAACAGGAUUAGAUACCCUGGUAGUCCACGCCCUAAAACGAUGUCAACUAGUUGUUGGGGAUUCAUUUCCUUAGUAACGUAGCUAACGCGUGAAGUUGACCGCCUGGGGAGUACGGUCGC
RNAcentral lists this ribosomal RNA (542 nucleotides) under uncultured bacterium. RNAcentral describes it as "partial 16S ribosomal RNA". It matches the Rfam family "Bacterial small subunit ribosomal RNA", at positions 355 to 889 of the family's 1533-position model. The record is from RNAcentral.